AAGAACAACGUUGUUGUUUACGCACUAACGAUCGGAACGAAAGCUCUCACUUUCUCACUCGAUCUCGCUCUCUUCUUCUUUGUCAAGCUCUACUUUACAAUCUCUCGUUCUCCCUCUCCAUCUCACUUUUCUCAUUGUUACUUUUUUUAGUUUUACUCUUUGGUUUGUCUGUGUGGCUAUUUUGUGGUUCUUUGAUUCUUUUUUUAGGUUUUUCUGUCCGUGAUGGAUUCCCCGCCAGGUACUCCGAUUUCAUCACUCUCUCAUACGGUGGCCACUCCGUCACUUCCGUCGGCACCGAAAAAGAAAUCCCAACAGUCUAUGGCAAGGUUUAUUCUGCACUCUUUAGAUGAUAUUACCGAAAUGGUUCAGGAAAUUAUUCUAGUUCUUUGAUUCUUUUUUUAGGUUUUUCCUAUCCGUGAUGGAUUCCCCGCCAGGUACUCCGGUUUCAUCACUCUCUCAUAACGGUGGCCACUCCGUCACUUCCGUCGGCACCGAAAAAGAAACCCCAACAGUCUAUGGCAAGGUUUAUUCAGCACUCUUUAGAUGAUAUUACCGAAAUGGUUCAGGAAAUUAUUCUAAGGCCUGAGUACAGCCAAGAAGCAUUGAAUGCUGAGAGAGAAAGAAAAAUGCGCAUUUUGAUGUCACUGCGAUAGUCAUUCAUUGCUUGCGUGAGUAUGAUUCUUGUGUUGGUUGGUAACUUGGUAUGAUUCUCUGUUCCUUUAUUCCUUUCAAUUUAUAUUUGGUAAGAAUCUAAGUUUAUAGAUUUAUAUACGUUUUUAUGCCAAAAUAUAAAAUAUGCCUUCGAUCUUGAUUUUUAUGCUAAAGAAAGUACCUAUUUUAUAUUAUGAAUCUAUGUUGAAUGAUGAUACUUCUAUAGACGGAUAUGUGUUAGGUAACAAUUUAUGUGUUUCAAUUGUUUAUGAUUCUCAUUCUAAAAUCUAUAAUAAGUCUCCUAAAGCUAGUCCUCUUUAUCUUUUUAUCUUAAUAUUGUUUAUGUUCUGUCAAUGCCACUCUUGUAACUAUUCGAAUAUUUGAGUACUCAGAACCAACAUGUUCUAAUACCCUCUCAUUCACUAUCUAAGGUAUGUUCUUUUCUUUGCCAAAACUAUUUUGAAUCUAUUACUAACUUGAUCGUUGGAGUCUUUGCAGGUACCACACCCAUUGCUCAUGAGCAGGAACAAUUUUGGCAACAACAAUUGGUCAAUCUAAUCUACUUCAUAUUUGGAUAAUCAUUCUAGAAAUGAACAUGUAAGUAGUAUCUUAAUUACUGCAUCUCUUCUAUGUGGAAAAAGGUGAGAAAUUUAUGUGAUUCAAUUGUUUAUGACUCUCAUUCUAGAAUUAAUCAAUCUCUUAAAGUUAGUCCUCUUUUUCUUUUAUAUUGAUAUUGUUUAUGUUCUGUCAUGCCCCCUUCUUGUAACAAUUUAUAUCUGCAUAAUGGAUCACACAUUUUAUUGCGCUGUCGGUGGCAUGUCCCUGUCCUUCUCAACCUCCAAGUGUCGUUUGUCUGCUCGAUGUUGAAAUCGGCCUACAUUCAAGAGAUGUAAGCAUACAUGCAGUAUAUUCCACCACAAGCCUUUCUAGAUCAUAACUCCAAAUUCUAUGAUUGAGUAUUUCUUUUCAACACUUGUUAGGAUAAGGCAAUAGUAUAUAAUUGAAACCAAGAGAUCUCUAUUCAACACAUGUCCAGUGCUUCCUCUACUUACAUCAAGUGGCCAUUUUACUUCCUCUGGUUCACAAUAUGUCUGGAUUGAUGUGCAACUUUGAAGUUCUAGGAUGUCGGAUUAUGUCCUUUCUUUGUAGUGUUACAAUAUUGUUUCAUUUGGCCUAUUGUUUUAAUCUUGACCUUAAUUUGUAUAAACUUCAGUUUCCAUGACAUUGUUAUGUUUAUUUUCCUUCUUGUGUUAAUAUACUCUUAAUAAUUAAAAUAAAUAUGUUAACAUGCCUAUGUUUGGUUUUUACUUUUGGAGCAUGUAAAAUUGAUUUGAAUUGAUCUUGACAUAUUUGGUUGUCAUUGAGUUGAAUUGAUUGUCUCCUUUAGAGUUGAUUUUUAGCUUUGGAUUUAUCAAUCAACUCACUUUUACAAGCAACAUAAAUUGUUUUAACUUCAAGUCACUUUUAAUUAAAAUCAAUUUUACAUAAUCAAUAGUUAUGUUUUUUUCGACGGAAAAAUAAUAGCAAUUUUUAUUGUGAAGUAGUUUUAAUCAUCAGUUUAGCACUUGAAAGUAUAAUCAUCAUGUAAAAUUGAUUUGAAUUGAUCUUGACAUAUUUGGUUGUCAUUGAGUUGAAUUGAUUGUCUCCUUUAGAGUUGAUUUUUAGCUUUGGAUUUAUCAAUCAACUCACUUUUACAAGCAACAUAAAUUGUUUUAACUUCAAGUCACUUUUAAUUAAAAUCAAUUUUACAUAAUCAAUAGUUAUGUUUUUUUUUACGGAAAAAUAAUAGCAAUUUUUAUUGUGAAGUAGUUUUAAUCAUCAUUUUAGCACUUGAAAGUAUAAUACAGUGUAAUUUUGAAUAUGUUAAAGUUUAAAACUGAAUACUCCUUUUUUUUUUAAACAAAAUAAGUGCUAUAUUUUUAUUGUUUUUAACUUAUGUUGAUGAUCUUGUUAUUCUUGGAACCUGUCUACUUGAUAUACAAAGUAUUAAAACAAUUACUAGAUAGAAAGAUCAAUAUUGAAGAUUUUGAAAUAUUUAAAUAUCAUUUGGAUUUUGAAGUGGAUAUUUUCUUACCCAAAGGAAAUAUACCCUUGACUUGACUUGAAGUUUAGGGUUGUUGGCUUCUUAACCAACUUCCACAUUCAUGAAUUUGGUUUUAAGCUUUGAUUAAAAUUUUGACAACCCUUAUGUGAUCCAAUUGGUUUUUGAAAACAAAUGGAUAGAUUGACAAGAAAAUAAAUUUAAUUCACACUAGAAUAAAAAUAAUAUAAUCAAAUUUACUGAUGAAUAAAACAAAAAGUAUAUUAAUAAUACACAUAAAAAUUGCAGAAAUUAAUGAAAAAUAAUCUAAUCAAAAUCUUCGCAAAAAAAAUUAUUUGUUGGUAUUUGUUUAUAUCGAUUAAAGGUGAUAUUUGACAUGACGAAUUCAACUACGUAUUGAUAAGUUAUUUAUAAGGUUGAGAUAGUGUUGAAUUUGGUGUUAGUCUCCAUAAAUUUGUUGUCUAAAAUAUAGUAUCGAUAAAACGAGUCAUUUGAUUUUAUAGACACCACACUAAAAUACAAAAACAAAAUAUAACAUACUAUGAUGACAAACAAAUCAAUGUUGCACUCAGAUGACUAAAUCGUAAAUAAAACACACAAAAAAGAAGUAAAUUUGUGUAGAAAAUCAAUUAUUUAAUUAAAAGCAUGGAAUAAAAUAAUUUAGAUAAUUAUUUUAGAUUAAAAAAAAAAGAAUAACCUUAAGUUACCCCUCUAAUAAACAAAGAGGAAGAGAAGCUGUGUUAUUUUUUUAGGAGGGGAAGUUAAAAAACAACUUUAGGCGGCUACUUGUAAAUUCCUCGACAUAUCUUAUGUUGUUUGUAUAAGUUAUACAUCGAUUCCUCUCUUCUCUUUUGCCACUCAUCUCUAGGUUGCAUUAAGGAUUCUAAAUUAUUUGAAGGUAAACUAGUGAAAGAUUUUUCACAACAACAUCCAUUAUUAUGUUCCAACUCUCUAGUUGUUUUGCGAUUCUUAGUGGAACUCAUAUAAGAUCUAGAAGAUAACAACAAACUUUUGUUUCUCUCUUGGCAACUCUUUAAUUCCAUGGAAAAUUAAGAAACAUUCAAUUGUUUCUCAUUCUUCAUCACAGACAGAAUAUAGAGCUUUAGAAUUCUAUUAUUUUAAUAUAUCGUUUGAUUGUUUAAAAACAAAGUCAUGUCCAUUAAUAGUUGUGAUGUGUCGACGGUGUAAAAAAAUUUACACUAACCGUGAUUAACAAUUAAACUCUUAAAUUUAUGGUACAAUAAAUAAAAUAGAUUAUUAUUAUUGUUGGUAUAUAAAUUAAUAUAAUUAUAAAAAAAUUACAUAAUUAAUAACUUUUUUGUUUUUACAGAAGAAUAAUAGAAAUAAAUUUUUAUUUAGUUUUAAUCAUCAACUUAGCACUUGAAAGUAUAAGACGCUCAUAACUGAAUACUCUUUUUUUAAAAAAAAAAAAAAAUAAGUACUUUUUUUUAUUAUUUUAACUUAUGAUGAUGAUCUUGUUAUUGUUGGAACGUGUGUACUUGAUAUACAAAGUACUAAAACAAUUACUAGAUAAAAAGUUCAACAUUGAAGAUUUUGAAACAUUAAAAUAUCUUUUGGAUUUUGAAGUGCUUACCCAAAGGAAAUAUACCUUCGACUUACUUGAAUAUCAGGGUUGUUGGCUCCUAAACCAACUUCCAAAUCCAUGAAUUUGGUUUAAAGCAUUGUUUAAAUUUUUUACAACCCUUAUCUGAUCCAAUUGAUUUUUGAACACAUAGAUACAUUGUUUUAUCUAAAAAUAUUAGUAUAUAUAUAUUGACAAUAAAUAAAUUUAAUUCACCCUAGAAUAAAAAUAACAUACAUAAAAAUUAUAGAAAUUAAUGAAAAAUCACAUAAUCAAAAUCGGAAUCUUAACAAUCAAACUAUAGUCUUCUACCAGUCAAUGGCUAAGAAUAAUGUGAUAUGUACGAUCUUUAAUGUCAUCCAUAUUCGAAAAAAAGAAAUAUUUGUUGAUGUUUGUUCAUAUCGUUUAUAGGUAAUAUCUGACAUGAAGAAUUCAACUAUAUAUUGACAAGUCAUUUGUAAGAUUGAUUCCUCUCUUCUCCUUUUUCUAUUCAUCUUUAGGCUGCCUUAAGGAUUCUAUAUUAUUUGAACGUAAACUAGAAAGAUUUUUCACAACAACAUCCAUCAUUUUGUUCCAACUCUGCAAUUGCCCUAUUACUAGGGUAAUUUUUAUAAUAGGGUAAUUUUUCUGGUUUUUAUGUUGUAGUAUUUAAUCGGGACGACGUGUUUAAGGCAAAUUGUAAUGGUGAGAUUAAUUGGGAUUGGAUAACGGGUCUUAUUGUUUUUGGUUGCAUGUAAGUUGUCUGGUAAAAAGAUGGUAAUGCUAAUGGGGCUAAUGGAGUAAACAUGUUUUGGUUUGGUGGAGGAAGAAGAGAGAGUUUGUAAUACAUGUUUCAUAGUGGGUGUUUUUGUAAUUUUUUUUCACUAAUUGGGGAUUCAUACUUAUCUUUAUGACUCAUUGUGCUUUCCCUGUAAAAAUUCUCUUGUAAGAAAAUUUGGUAAUGAGUUUUUCUCUCCUUUAAUAUGUUCUAUUUCGUAAUCAAAAUAAGAAAGUAAAGAUUGCCAUCUAGCAAAACUAUGUUUCGAAACCAGGUUUUUAACAUCCUUUUGCAAAACAUCUUUUUCUGCUUUAUAAUCAGUUUUUAAUAAAAAUUUCUUUGAAAAUAAGUCAUCUUGAAAUUUUGUAAUGCAUAAAACAAUUGCCAAAAUCUCUUUUUCAACAGUACUAUAUUUUAGUUGAGUUGGGUUCCAUAUUCCAGAGUAAUAUCUCACUAUUUGCUCUUUUGGGUUUCCUGGUAAUUUUUCUUUUAACACUCCACCAUAACCUAACUCUAAUGAGUCAGUCUCUACUACUAAUAGGGCUUGAGGGUCUAGAAUUCCUAAGCAAAGUAAUUUUUUAAUUAUUUGUUUUUAGGUUUUGACACUAUCGGCCAUAGUCUCAUCCAAUUUGGGUGGAUUUUUUCUUAGUCUUUUAAAUAAAGGUGAACAUAUAAUCCUAAGGUUGGGAAUAAAGUCUGCUACAUAAUUUACACUUCCUAAGAAUCUUUGUAAUUGAUUUUUGUCUUUUAAUUCAUUAUGAAAAUUUUCUCCAAAUUCUAUUGACCUACUAAUUUGUGUUAUUGUUCCUUGAUAAAUGUUGAAUCAUAAAAAUCUAAUAUUAUCCUGAAAUAAUUUAAUUUUCUUGGCUGACACCACUAAUCAUUUUUCUUUAAUAAUAUUAAAGAAUUUUUUCUAGAUGUUCAAAGUGUUGAUUAAUACUUUUUGAAAAUACUAAUACGUCAUCUAAGUAUACAAUAGUAAAAUGUUGUAAUUAUUAAAAAUGUCAUUCAUAAUAUUUUGGAAUUCACUGGGUGCAUUCUUUAAUCCGAAGGGCAUAACAUUCCAUUCGUAAUGUCCAAAGGGUACUACAAAGGCUUUUUUAUAAUUAUCCUCUUCUUUUAUUUGUAUUUGGUAAUAUCCUGAUUUCAUNNNNNNNNNNNNNNNNNNNNNNNNNNNNNNNNNNNNNNNNNNNNNNNNNNNNNNNNNNUUAUAAUACUUUAUUUAAUGGUUUAUAAUUUAUAACUAAUCUGGGGGCUCCUCUUUCUAAUUUUGUUGAGUUCAUUACAUAGAACCCUACACAACUCCAGGGAGAUUUACCAGGUCUUAUUAAUCCUUUAUCUAAGUAUUCUUGUAUUUCCUUUUUACAAUAAUCUAGGUAUUGUUGAUUCAUUUGUAUUGGUCUUGCCUAGGUGGGAAUGUUUCUCUCAUUAAAACUGGGUUCAUAAGGAAGUGAGACCACAUGCUUCUUUCUUGUCCAGAAAGCAUUGGGGGUGAUCUGCACAAAUUUCUUUUUCAAAUUUAUCUUGUAUAAUUUUAUUUUGUAAUUGUUCUUCUAUUCUUUUAUAAUGAAUCUCUUUGUUUAUCAUCCCUAUUUGUUUCUUCUUUUUAGAGAUUAAAUUAAUUUUAUUAUGACUUGAUGUCGAUGCUUCCUGUAACAUUUAAUUAUUUAAUUUUGGGUUUUUGAACAACUUCAAAUUUUAUUGUUUUUCCUAAUGCUUUUUUAGUAAGACCUUCAUGUGAUACAGUGAAUGGGUAUAUUAAUGCUAAGAAAGGGUUUUCUAUAAUUACACUUUCUCUAAUGUCUUUUACUAAUAAAUUGAAGUAUGAUAACAAAUUCCAUUUUUACAUACCUUUGCAUCAAGUAAUUUAUAAGUAACACCUAAUCUAGAACCAUUGGCUCCAAUUAAUCUUUCUAGGGUUUUUUCGUAAUAUUUAGUGGGUAUUAAUCCUUCUUGGAUACAAUUAGAGUUUGCACCAGAAUCAAAUAAUGCAUUAAACUCAAAUUUUUUAUUUUUAAUAAUUAUAGUUAUUGGACAGUACCAUUUGUGUACAAUUAAUUUAUUUAACAAAAAUAAAUAAGGUUCUUAUUCUUUUAUAUCAUUAUUAUUACUACUACUUUCUAACUUAAGUUGUUGUUCUAAUAUACUUUUUUCUUUUAAUUCUAAAUACUUAACAUCUAAUUCUAAAUCCUUUUGUUUUAAUAAUUGAAUUUCUUGAUUUUAUAGAAGUAAUUUCAUUCUGCAUGUCUUUAAUAGUAAUUGGUGGGGUAAUAGUGGGUUUAAAUCUAUUCAUUAUUUAUUUAAAUUCUACUUUAUGAACUAUUUCAUUUUCUAUUUGUUCUUUUUCUAUAAUUCCUUGUAUCUGAAUCAUAAAUUCUUCCUUUUGAUUUUAAUCAGGCAUUUUUCUUAAUACUUCUAUAAGAUUACUAGCUUGAUCUGUAGUAAUCAUAUUAAUUGCCUUAGUACAAUCAUUACAGUUACAUAAUUCUGGACCUAAACAAUAAUUUUCUUCUGAACUUUCUUCUGAUUAUGAUUUUUCUGAUAUAUUAUUAACAUAUUCUUCUUCAUAAGAUGAUUCUUCCGAAGAACUAGAGGAUUCAUCAAUCAACAUAAUUCCUUCUAAGAUAUUAAUAAGACUUUCUUUUAAUUCUUUUUGUAUUUCUAAUUUACAGAUUUCAUUAAUUUUUUGUUUUACUCUACAAUUUUUUGCUUAAAGUCCUAGUCUUCCACAUUUAAAACAUUUAAUUUCUUGUUUAUUAAAGACUUUUUUUAUUAGUUCUUUUAAUUUUUUGUGUUUCUUUAUAGGUUCUUUUGGGGUGUAAUUAUUAUUAUAAUUUUUCUUUUUUUAUAAUGUCUAAAUGUUUGUUUUGGAUAUCUUUUAUUUAUGUUUUUACUAGGAGCUUUAAUCGUCUCUAUUCCGAAUUGUUCACAAAAUAAUCUUAAUUCUUUUCUACUUUGUACUACUUCUGAUCUAAUUUUAUUCUGUAUUUUAAAAUCUGUGCAUAUUCCUAUUCCGAUUUCUACUACGUAAUUCGAUAUUUGUCCUAAGGUUAAUGUUCCAUAAGGAAUUAUUGUUGAUUAUUAUGACCUCGGAAUAAUCGGAAUGUAUCAGUUCUUUAAGAAAUUAAAUCAAUUUCAUACACACGGCGGAAUUAAAUUGCGGCAUACAAGAUUAGCAAUUACAAGGAGAUGGAUAAGAGAUUAACCAAGAUGCAUGCGAGUCAAAUUUCCAGUUUAAACAAUAUUACCUAACACAGAAUAUGUUUAACAUGCAUCUAAUAUUAAUCACACAUACAAAUAUUGCAAGAUAGAAAAUUAAAGGAGUUAAGGGUUAGAGAAGAUUGCACCAAGAAUUUAUCCUGGUUCGGUUGUCAACGAGACAACCUACAUCCAGUCCUGACAAUCCAAUCGGAUUUCAGAUUUUCUUCUCCAAUAGAAAGAAUCAAUUACAGAUUGUCCAGUUUCAUCCCCGAAACCUAUCUAUCUCUAAUGAUCUCUUUCCUAUUGAUUACCCUCUGAUCCUUGUAGACACUCAGCAGUCUAACACAGAAUCACAGUACGACUCCUUCUUGUUGAGACCUCUCACCCAAGAAGGUAGCCACUAGUUUCUAGCUGGCUUUCUAUCAACCCUUUGAUCCUUGUAGACACUCAGCAGUCUGACACAAAAUCAAAGUGCGACUCCUUCUUGUUGAGACCUCUCACCCAAGAAGGUAGCCACCAGUUUCUAGCUGGCUUUCUCGCUUUCGUUUCGUUUCAAAGUAUUGUUAUAGACAGAUUAAAAGAAGUACAAAAAGAAGUCUUCAAUCUUGAUCAAUGUGUCUUCUCACGAAUCUGGAUAUUCAAUGAUUGUUCAUGAGGACAUUGUCUUUUCUCUCAAGAAUACUUUUUCAGCUCUCUCAAUGAUUAUGGAUAAUCUUUUGAUCUUGAUCUGAAAGAGCAUUAUCAGAUUGUCAACAAAGUGUAUUGUGAUUUGUUAUUGAAGUUAUCUUGAGUUCUCAGAACUAUGAAAGUUAUGAUCAAGGUUCUUUUUGAAAAAGAUUGAAAAACAGUUUAUAUAGUUUCUGAAAAACAACUACUAAAUCGAUUUACCAAUCGAUUCAUUAANNNNNNNNNNNNNNNNNNNNNNNNNNNNNNNNNNNNNNNNNNNNNNNNNNNNNNNNNNNNNNNNNNNNNNNNNNNNNNNNNNNNNNNNNNNNNNNNNNNNNNNNNNNNNNNNNNNNNNNNNNNNNUCUUACCAGAUGUUUAGUUCAAUCGAUUUCCCAAUCGAUUGCAACCAAACUUAACUUGAUUGAAAUUCACACAAUAGAUUGUCUAAUCGAUUGUGUUUGUCACAGGUGAAGUUACUUUUGAAAUUUCAUUUUAAGCAAUCGAUUUGCCAAUCGAUUUCCUAAUGCCCUGUGACUUCCCAAUCGAUUUGCCAGUUGAUUAGUUUCAAUCAGUUUACAUUUUGUGAUAUGUACAAUCGAUUUGUCAAUCGAUUAACCUGUAAACCAGGUUGCCACUGACUUGUUCAAUUUUCAUUUCUAAUAUAGUCAGUCGAUUGCCCAAUCGAUUAUACAAUCACAAACAUUUACUUUUCCUUACACCCUUGUUAUGAAAUCAAUUUCCCAAUCGAUUUACUCAGUGAAUAAUCAACUUUUGUUGAUUUCUUGUGUUCCAAGCAAUUUGUUCCAAGUGUGUAGGAUUGAAUUGGUGUUCCUGAAAUCUUGCUCAAUUGAAAUGUUAGAUUUAUCAUAUGAUGUAUGAACAUUGUAUGUUUGUUAAUUAUGUCAAAAUUAGGAUUCAAAGGACUAAAGUCCAACAAUUAUUCCAUUAAAUUUUGAUUUAAUAUUCAUUUUAACUUUUUUACUAAAUAAUUUAGGUAAUCCUGCUAAAAAUCUCUCUUUCCAAUAAUCUACAUUUCCACCUGGUCUUAUAUAUAAUUUUGACAUAAACAUGUCUUUAUACCAUCUAUAAUAAGACAUGGAAGGGCAAUGAAGAGUAACUAAUUGUUCAACACCCCUUUCUUGUUAUUGUAAUGGGUCUCUUACAAACACUUUCGUGAUAGCAUAUAAUAGGGUAUUUACUGAGUCUUCUUCUAUUGGUAUUCCAUUAUUAUCUACUUUAAUUGUUGUUAAUAUCAUAGUUUUUUCUUAUUCAGUAACUAUAUUAUCCCACCAUCCUUUUAAUUGACCAGUGAGUCCAGUGAUUAAUAAUAACGCUGCCUUUUUAUCAGUAUUUUUCCCUGAUGUUUUAAAGGCGGUGGCUGCCAUAGUCAUGGCCUGAAUAAUAUUUAAUAUGUUUUGUUCACUAUGUCCAUCUAUGUUCCAUUCAAUAAUAGAAUCUCCACUAUAGGUUACGGAGGUCAUGUAGUAACUUUCUUCAAAUUGUAAGUCUGGAUAGCUAAGUCUAGGGUAAUAAUUUCUAGUUUUACCUUGAUAACCAAUAUUUUUCAUAUUUUUAAUUUUGUUAAUUUCUAACUCAUUGGGGUCUUGUGAUAAUACAUUGACUUGAGAAUUAUUUGUGAUUGUCAACCUUUUUAAUUCAUCAGAGUUAUUUUUUAAUUUUGCUUCUUUUAAUUCUUUUUCAGGUCCAUUUAUUAAUUUAUAAAUAGGGCUUUUUGGAUCUAGUUUGUAAUCCUUAUAUGAAUUUAUUUCACUAUGCGUACUGGGGUGGUUUUUACUCACUUGUAAUUCUACUCUAUCUAAUUGUUCAGCCAUAGUAUAUAAUAUUUGAUUACUAAAGUUUAAUUGAGUUUGGACUCUUCCUAUUUCUUUAUUUUCAUGAUUUGGAUGCUUAAUUGUUUUAAAGGGUGAAGCUUCAAAUAUAAUUCCAUUCUUUUCUAUUUUUAUUGUUUCUAAUGGAGGAUGUAUAGAUUCUAUUAUUUUAUCAUCUACAAUCUUCCAUUUAUUACUUAUUUUAGUAUUAACAUUUAUGUGAUUAUUUCUAAUAAAAGGGUUUUCUAUAUUAUUUUCUAAACAGUAAUUUUCAAACCAGUUAAAGAAAUAAAUAUUUAAUCUUAUUUCUUUAAGGUACGCAUAAUAUUUUUCUCUAUAAUCACUUGUUAUUUCUUUUGAGAAAGUAUCAAAAUACCAUUUUCUUUUAUCUGUAUUAUAAUCUGCUUCGAAAUCUUCUGUUAACUAGACUUUGUCUAUUUCAAAUUCUUCUUCUAAUUAAUUUACUCCUGUUGAAGUUGUGGGAAUUUAGAGAAAACGAUGAGAGAAAAUAAUCACUACGCGAAAAAUGGUAUUUUACAGCGUUUUUUUUAAGCCAUUACAGCGCUUUUUCAAAAAAUUAAGCGCUGUAGUAUCCAGCGCUGUAAAAAGAUACAACAGCGCUCUUUAAAAUAAAUAAAAAGCGUUGUAAAUCUCUUCUAAAAACGUGCUGCUUGUUGUAUUAGUUUUACGGCGCUUUUUAAAAAAAGCGCUGUAAUAUGCAUUCCUUUAUUUCAAUUAGAUCUCUUUCUGGGAUUAUAACAACAAUCUCCUUCAUAAAUCGUAAUAUACAGUAUCCGCAGUCUAUGUUGUUAGUUUGACGAGAGCACUAUAAAAUAAAACAUAUAAGUCAAUAAAUAUUUGUGGAUUGAUUGUUAAUGAAAUUUUAAAGCCAUACAUUUCAAACCUUUAUUAGAAUCCAUGUGAUUUAUUUGAUUUUUGCUUCGACACUGUAGCACCCAUUUGAGCUCGGAAAACUUGUAAAACACUAUCAAAUAAAUGUGAUUAUUAGCAUUAACAGACACAUUAUAUAUAUAUAUAUAAGAAAUAAAUGAAUAAAUGAAUACAAUACCUGAAGAGUGCGAAGAAAUACGUAGAGUUCAUAAGGUUACGGUUUCGUUUAAGAAGAAACAGCGAAGCCUAUUACAGCGCUUUUUUUAAAAAGCGCUGUAAAAGACCUUCUUAUUUUAUUUUUUAAAAGCCUAUUACAGCGCUUUUUUUAAAAAGCGCUGUAAAAGACCUUCUUAUUUUAUUUUUUAAAAGCCUAUUACAGCGCUUUUUUUAAAAAGCGCUGUAAAAGACCUUCUUAUUUUAUUUUUUAAAAGCCUAUUACAGCGCUUUUUUUAAAAAGCGCUGUAAAAGACCUUCUUAUUUUAUUUUUUAAAAGCCUAUUACAGCGCUUUUUUUAAAAAGCGCUGUAAAAGACCUUCUUAUUUUAUUUUUUAAAAGCCUAUUACAGCGCUUUUUUUAAAAAGCGCUGUAAAAGACCUUCUUAUUUUAUUUUUUAAAAGCCUAUUACAGCGCUUUUUUUAAAAAGCGCUGUAAAAGACCUUCUUAUUUUAUUUUUUAAAAGCCUAUUACAGCGCUUUUUUUAAAAAGCGCUGUAAAAGACCUUCUUAUUUUAUUUUUUAAAAGCCUAUUACAGCGCUUUUUUUAAAGAGCGCUGUAAAAGACCUCCUUAUUUUACUUUUUAAAAGCCUAUUACAGCGCUCUUUUUAAAAAGCGCUGUAAAAUACCUUCUUAUUUUAUUUUUUAAAAGCCUAUUACAGCGCUUUUUUUAAAGAGCGCUGUAAAAGACCUCUUUAUUUUACUUUUAAAAGCCUAUUACAGUGCUUUUUUAAAGAGCGCUGUAAAAGACCUCCUUAUUUUAUUUUUUGAAAGUCUAUUACAGCGCCCUUUUACAGACAUUUUAAAGCGCUUGUCCAAAAGCGCUGUAAAAGACCUCCUUAUUUUUUUUUAAAAACCUUUUUACAGCGCUUUUCCAAAAAGCGCUCUAAUAGGUCCUUUAAUUAUGUGAAAUCAAAGUCUUUUACAGCGCUUGUCAAAAAAGCGCUGUUGUAUCCUCCAUUAUUUUUAAAAUAUCAUACAACAACGCUUGUAUUUAAUAAGCGCUAUAAAAUGUCAUUUUUGGCGUAGUGAAUAAAGGCUUGAAUAUUAUUGAUAAUAGCUUAAUGUUGACUUGAUUACAAAAGACUCAAUAUUAAUCUCUAUUUAUAGAGAAACAUAGACUCAAUCCUAAAUCAAGAAUAAAUCAUAAUAAUGAGAGAUAUUCUAAGAUUCUCUAUGAUUAUAAGUUGAUCAUAGAAAAUAGCUCAAGAUACUCUAAUAUAAUAUAAAAGAUAUUGUAAGAUAUUUUCUAAUAUUCUAACACUCUCCCUCAAGCUAAAGCUGACUAAGCUUUAACUUGCUACAAGAUAACAAUGUUUUGCUCCGCAAAAUAAUAAAAAAAAGAUGGAAAGGCAACUCAAGGAUGCAGGUGAAGUCGAAGACAAUUGCUAUAAAUACAGCCUAGAUAGAUAGCUGGAAUGAUCUAUAACAUGAGAGAAAUUCAUGGCAAGCAGUUGAACAACGCAAGGUCCGUCCUUCUAAAAAACUGCAUUUGGAAGCUUCAUACCAAUAAUAUCAGAGACUCAAAAUAUUUAAACUUGAAUUUUUUUCAAGGAGAGAGAGGCAUGCUUCAAGUAGAGAAAGGCAAGGCCAGUACAUCUGGGACAAAGAUGGGGUCAGUGUAUCUAGGACAAAUUGCCAAGUUGUAUGCAUGUGGUUCGAAAGAAAAAAAAAACUUAAAAUAGAUCUGAAACUAGGAAGGAAAACUCAAUCUAGAUGAAUGAAACAUUAUGCAAGAAAGCGGACAGGCGCGUUUGAGCUCGUGUGGAGCAACUUUUGACCUUAAAGAAAAUCUGAGUUGGGUAGAUUGGGAGAUUCCGCACACAAUGGAAGUGGUUGUGUUGGAAAACGUUUCCAGCAGCAACGGCAGAUGGCAGCAGUAGAAGACGGGACAUCAGCAACGAUAGGCAGCAGACGGCGGCGGCAACAGAUCUACUCGCAAGCAAAUUUACCAAAAUUAGUGGCAGCGGCGACAGUAGCGAAUUGAAUGGAAAACGAGUGAAACAUGUCAAAAUGUUGAAAAAGAGAAACUAUGAUUAUAUUCCCUAACUAUUGGGAACUCAACAGCGGAAUAGAGGCAAGAUCGUUCAAGGAGGACCGAAAUCGGGUCUAGAUACCAUGUUGAAGUUGUGGGAAUUUAGAGAAAAGGAGGAGAGAAAAUAAUAAGGGUUUGAAAAUCAUUGAUAAUAGCUUAAUGCUGACUUGAUUACAAAAGACUCAAUAUUAAUCUCUAUUUAUAGAGAAACAUAGACUCAAUCCUAAUCAGGAAUAAAUCAUAAUAAUGAGAGAUAUUCUAAGAUUCUCUAUGAUUAUAAGUUGAUCAUAGAAAAUAACUCAAGAUACUCUAAUAUAAUAUAAAAGAUAUUAUAAGAUAUUUUCUAAUAUUCUAACAACUCCUUAUACCUGAGAUGUUGUUGGUGACAUCUCUGGUGACUCUAAUUCUUGACAAUCUGGACAAGGCUCAUAUAAUGGUUGAGGUAUUGAGGGUACGAAAUCCACUUAUGUUAAGUUAAUAUUAAUGGUAGAUCUUGAAUCUACUGAUUUUCUAGAGCUUGUUUCAGAUAAAUAUUUUAAUGACUUAUCAGUUAUAAAAGACUGACUUCGAUUCAUUCUAAUUCUUAUACUACCAUCCUCUUCUAAAAUAAACUGUCUAGGUUUUCUAGAUUCUAUUCUAGGUGUUGGCAUAAUUUCUUUUAAUACUCAUUCUUUUGGUAGUUUAGCAAUAAUGUCAAAAACCUUUAGUUUUUUAGGGGUUGUAAUAUUAGAAUGUUUUAGAUUUGCUUCAACAAUUACAGUUUCAUUUCUAGGUAUAUUUCUUAAUGCUUUAAAAUUAUAAUUUAUAUUUGAAACGUUAUAUUUAAUUUUGUAACAUAUAUCGAUAUUAGCUACUCCUUCAUAAAACAAAUCAUCCAUACAUUGAAUAUUAAUAACUAAAGACCUUUUAGUAAAACUGUUUUCUAAGUUCAUAGAGUAAUUUGGAUAACAAAUAAAAUAAACAGGACCAUCAUUUAAAUUUGAUUCUAAUAUAUAAAUAUUGGAUUCAUUAAAUCUUUUAAUUCUAUUAUCACGUAGCACUAAUAAUAUGGGAGUAUUUAGUCCUAACUUAUGUAAUGGUUUAAUAGCAACUUGUAUUAAUCCUAAGUGAAUAUAACGAAAUCCUUGUUUGAUAUGCUCAUCAAUUAUUUCUUCAUUUAAUAAAUUAAUAGUUUCACGAUGUUCAACUAUUGAUUUGGAAGAUUCUAAUGUAUGGCUAAUUUCCUGAGAUCUAAAUUUGUAAAACGUACUAGUUUUAUAUAUUUCUUUAUAUUUAAUGUCAGACAUAUUCCAAUUUUGUAAUUUAUUUUCUAUUUCUGCUAUUUGUAACUCUUUGUUUUGAUAAUUGUCAUGGUCAUUUUUAUUAUCUAAUUCUUCUAUAGAUAAUGAAGUAGAAAGUAUCAUGGUUUUAUCUCUUCUUCAGGAUCCUAGUUCGCUCAAGGUUCUAAGGAAUUGGGCCAUAUUUCUAUUGUUUAAACUUAAGGUUUCAAAAUCUUUCUCUUCUCACGGGACCACUGAUAUAUCUAUUCUGGGAACACCCUACCUUUCUCUUGGGAAUUACGGCUUACCAACAGAAUCAACCACAGUUGACCAACGUUUUGAUAAUUAAGAUUUUUAAAAACUUAAGUUUAAAAUACAAGAAAUAUAAUCUAAUUCCUCAGAGUCCUCUUACAAGGCUCUGAUACCAUAUUGAAGAUGAUGUAAGACCAUGAUAAACAUAAGUAUACCAUAAUUCAAUAAAGCAAAACAUAAUACAUAAAGAGUUAUGUGAAAAUAAUGGUAAAUCGUCAAGAAAUAUAUCUAAUUUAGUUGUUAAUAAGAAAACAGUUUGAAAAACUAAUUGAAAGUAAGGAAAGUUCAUAAAUUUGUUCAUGAUUAAAACUUACAAUUAUUUCUUUCAGAGAAUGAGGGAAUUGCAAGGAAACGACUGACAAACUUUUCAAUACUUUUGCGAAUGCCUUACAUAAUAAAUGACCACUUCCUUUUAUAAUGGAAGGAUGGGUCUCAAAUUACAAUAAUACCCCUAAAUUUUUUAGAUAACUUUCAAUAAAGCAAAUAGUGAAACAGUAAAAGCUAAUAAUACAUUGUCAUUUUCAAAAGUAACCUAAUCAUUCAUUACUUUAGUCAAAAGUGACCAUCAGUCGGGGAAUCUUUAAUGAUAACAAGGUGUUGUCAUAUCUUGUCUUCUUAAUAAUUCAGAUGCCUUUAAUGUCAUUUUUAUUUUUCAAUAAUUCAAAAUCAUCAUGCCUCCUUAAUAACUCAGCUACCUUUAAUAUCACAUUUUGUUUCUUUAAUAUUAUUAAAGAAAAUGGAUAAGUGGUGUCAACCAACAAAAUGAAAUUAUUUCAGGAUAAUAUUAGAUUUUUAGGAUUCAACAUUUAUCAAGGAACAAUAACACCAAUUAGUAGGUCAAUAGAAUUUGGAGAAAAAUUUCCUAAUAAAUUAAGAGACAAAACUCAAUAAUAAUAAUAAUAAUAAUAAUAAUAAUAAUAAUAAUAAUAAUAAUAAUAAUAAGUAAUCAUAAUAAUAAUAUUAAUAAUAAUAAUAAUAAUAACAAGCUAAAUCCUAGUAGAAAAGGAUAUACUAAUGCAUUACUAAAAUGGUUAAACGAAUUUGUGUCAUUUGUAAUCCAACAACCAAACAUAUGAAAUAUAGAAAUUAGAUGUCGUUGUUCUGUUUGCAAAAAUAUUGAUUUCUUAGACUUUGAAGUUGUUAACAUUUAUAUUUUAAGGAAGUAGUUUAAACCUGACUAUUAGUAUUGGACAUCUCAUGGAGAAAGUGAUCCAGAGUUGCAUGUAGAAAUUAAAAGGAAAAAUAUGCACAAGAGCGACAUAACAAUCAUUUUAAUAAAUUUGAGAGCAUGGUUUAUGAUGUUAUUGGACCACAGUAUCAAAUGCAUUAUGAUGAAGAAUUAAAGGAUUCUUCAAAUAUAGAUGAUCAAAAGUUUUAUGAUUUACUAAAUGCAGCUCAAAAGCCAUUGUGACCGGGAUGCAACGAUAACACUGAAGUGUCUUUUGUUGUUAGAUUGUUGGCAAUUAAAUUAGAGGAAAAUAUUUGUCAACAAUCUUUUAAUCAAAUAGUGACACUUAUGAAGGACACAAAAUCUUUCAAAACUUGGUCUCACUGUGGAAAAAAUAGAUUGUUGUGUAAAUGGUUGUAUGUUAUUCUACACUGAUGAAUGUAAACAAUUAAAAGAAGGCAAGUUUUGUAAUGCACCUCGUUAUGAGAAAAAAAAAAGAUUGGUAGGCAUGAAUUCAAAGAGGUACCUAUGAAAAUAAUGCAAUAUUUACCGCUAAUUCCCAAACUUAAGAGAUUAAAUGCUUCGAUGAGCUCAGCUCCACAUAUGAGAUAACAUUAUGAAAAUAGACGAGAAUCAGGAGUGAUGUGUCAUCCAUCAGGUGGAGAGACUUGGAAACACUUUGAUCAAAUUUAUCCUUACUUUGUUGUUGAACCGAGGAAUGUAUACCGAUGGUUUUACCCCAUUUAGUCAUACUACCUAACCUUAUUCAUGUUGACAGAUAAUUGUCACUCCUUACAAUCUUCCUCCAGAACUAUGCAUGACAACUCCCUACACAUUUCUCACUUUGAUUAUUCCUGGACCACAUAAUCCAAAGAGCAAGAUAGAUGAGCUCAAAUAUUUAUGGAAUGAAAGAGUGCUUACUAAAUCGAUCGCUAUUAUAUUUAUUGAUCGCUAUUAUAUUUAUUGACCGCUAUUAUAUUUAUUGACCAAUUUUUUCCAUUUAAUAACCGAACAAUUGAUCUCUAAAAGCGCUUUUUCAAUAAUUCUAAUUCAUCAUUUCUCCUUAAUAAUUCAGCUACCUUUAAUGUCACAUUUUGUUUCUUUAACAUUAUUAAAGAAAAUGGAUUAGUGGUGUCAUCCAAGAAAAUGAAAUUAUUUCAGGAUAAUAUUAGAUUUUUAGGAUUCAACAUUUAUCAAGGAACAAUAACACCAAUUAAUAGGUCAAUAUAAUUUUGAGAAAAAUUUCCUAAUGAAUUAAAAGAUAAAACUGAAUAAUAAUAAUAAUAAUAAUAAUAAUAAUAAUAAUAAUAAUAAUAAUAAUAAUAAUAAUAAUAAUAAUAAUAAUAAUAAUAAUAAUAAUAAUAGAUAUAGGAGGAGGUCGUUAACAAAAUAAAAUUAAGUUGCUAGUAUAUGCAAAAUAGGAGUGACACCUUAUUUGUUUUGAUAUAUUUACUCAACGAUAUUAAUUUUGAGGUAUUUUUUUUCUAUUAAAUGUACUUUGAUUUUUUAAAAUAUUUUAUAAUCAUUUUUUCAAUGUUUUAUUUUUAUUAUUUAUAUUACUUUUUCAUUUAUUGGAUUGCAUUGGUCAGCACUCAAGUGGAUUAUGUGGUACUUAAAUGGCUCACUGACAGUAGGUUUAAAAUUCAAAAAGAAUCAUCAUGACAAUUAACCAAUCAAAUGAUAUGUGGACUCGGAUUAUGCUGGAAACAUGGACACUAGAAAAUCAAUUUGAAGUUAUGUUUUCACUCUAUAUGGGACUGUUGUAAGUUGGAGAGCAAUUACGCAGUCGGUGGUAGCACUUUCUACAACUCAAGUUGAAUUCAUUGCGCUUACUGAAGGUGUUAAAGAAGCUUUAUGGAUGAAAGGACUUAUUGGUGAACUAGGAAUGAAUCAGAAUUGUGUUUCAAUUUAUUGUGAUAGUCAAAUUGCUAUACACUUAUCCAAGCAUCAAGUGUAUCAUAAUAAGUCUAAACCUAUUGAUAUUAAGUAUCACUUCAUAACAGAUGUGAUCGUUUCAAAGCAAGUUUCACUUGAGAAGAUUGCAAUUAAGGACAACUCAGCUGAUGCAUUCACCAAAUCACUUUCACAAGCUAAGUUCAAGCAUUGUUUGGACAUAGUUGGCUUCAAAAAAGAGUACAGAUGAAGCAAUGGUAGCAAGAUCAAUGAUUGAACUAUUCUGAUAUUGAGUCAAGGUGGAGAAUUGUGAAUAUGUGCCUCAAAUCAUCUAACUAAAGUUAGUUAAGCUUUAGUGGUUUUUAUAACUACAUUUGGCAAGGUUAGUUAUGAUAGGUGUUUAUAGUUAAUUUGCUUGUGUAUACUAUAAGUAAAGUUGUAAUAUUGUAGCAGUUGUAAUGUUGUUGUUGUAGUAGUAAGAGCUGGAAACUAAGAGAGGCAUAUGCAACUCAUCAUAGAAUAUCAUAGAGAGAUGAUUAAAAUGAGAGAAAGAAAUAUUAAUAGAAAGGCUAGUAUUGAUGGUUCAUAAAUUGAGAAGGCUUUAAUCUUGUAGAGUUCAAUUAACAAUAGUGGAUUAAUCUUGCUUGCUUGCCUGUGAGACCGAACACGUAAAUUUUUUGUGUUAUUCUUUCCUUAUCCUUCUUUAAUUUUAAUGUGAAAACUGUUUCAGAACAUUCUCUAUUUUCAGCAGAAAAACCCAAAACGUUCUACGUUUUCUGGUUUUUUCAGUUCUGUCCAAAACGUUCUACGUUUUCUGGUUUUUUCAGUUCUGUCCAAAACGUUGUCUGUUUUCAGCAGAAAAUGCAGAACGCUCUCCUUUUUAUUUUUUAUCUACAAUUGCUUGUUUUUCUGUUUUGUGGGUUAACUCUUGUUGCAGAUCCCAAUAUUGUUUUAAGAGAAUGUAUUUAUAUCAAGUUUUCAGCUAAAUAGUAAAAAUCUCAUAGGGCGUGAGGAUGGGACGUAGCUCAAAGUUAAGGGUUAAUUAGGAUAAAUUUUUGUGUGAUUUUAUUUACUUUAAUCUUGUAACCUUGUACAUUAGUCACACUGCAUCAUUGCCAUUUACAUUUUAAGGUUUGUUCCUUUCUCAACUCUUUCAAUUUUAAAUUUCUAUAAUUUUCUAGUAAUUCUUGUUUCUUACUUAACAAUUUUGAUUCUAGUUCACUUACCUAUAUUUUUAAUUUUUCAAAUAUGGUUAAAUGUGGUUGAAAAAUAAUGAAAAGACUAUCAAAUUAUUAUAAUUUCAUUUAUUGAUUUCAGAUUGAUGUUAGGUUUUUGUUCUCUUUCAAGUUUUUAUUAUUCAUUGAGAAUGUGUUAUACAUGAUAUUAUUAUUUUGCUGUUAGUUUUUUGUGCUGGUUCAAGUUUUUAUGAUUCAAUGUGGAGCAAAAUGGUUAGUUCAAAUUCUACUAUGCUACAUUGCUAUUGUGCUGCAAUAGCGGCUAUUUGACAACACUUUAUACCUAGCUAAUAGUGUAUUGUUGAACAAUACUGAUUUUAUAAAAAAGAAGAGUGGUUCAAUUAAUUAGUCCAACCAGAUUCACUUUCACUGUUGUAUUGUGAUUUUGACAUUUGAAUAUAAUUUUGAAUCAUUGUUGUUGUAUUAGUUGUUGAGUUGCUAUUUUCCAAAGUUUGAUUUUGGUUGUGAUUAAGGAAAUUAAUAUAUGAGAAAUGUAUACAUAUAUUUAAUACUUUUUCGAUUUAGGAACUCCUAUAAAAUCUAGCCAAAUAGAAAGUUCAUCCUCCAAGAAGACUGAAGAUGUCAUAAAAAAGGAAAGCUCAGAGUAUCCUCUAUCUGAGGAUGAGGAUGAACUCGCUCUGAUUUCCAGAAGAAUUCAGAGGAUGAUAAAUAGAAGAGGAUAGGAUAAAAGAUAUCGUCAAAAAGAAAAAACUGACAAUAGUUAGAUAACUUGUUUUGGAUGCAACAAUAUGGGACACUACAAAACCGAGUCCUCUAAACAAAAGAAACUCAAAAAGAUUUCCCUUCAAAAAUAAAUCUAUGAUGAUUACUUGGGAUGAUAGUGAUGAGUCAUCCUCUGAGAAAUAGAAGGAAGAAUAGGUCAACCUUUGUCUCAUGGAAAAAUCAGAUACUGAAAAGGUAAUCAUCUUAGAACUAUGUCCUACGUGUGAAAUGAGAAAUUAUCUGAGCAACAAACUUUUUUAAAUAAAAAGAAAGUCAAAAGUCAUCCUCCAGAAGAGGACACAGAAAAGGAAAUCUUGAAAGUAGAAGUUGAAGAACUAAAAAAUGACAUUAUCAACUUUGUUAAAUCUACUGAAACAUUUCAAAAGAUUAUGGGAUCUCAAUCUGGAAUCUUUGACAAAGCUGGUAUUGGAUUUAAAAGUUCUCAAAAACAAAAAUUAUACGAAAAUUUUUUCCUGCCUAAAAACAAGAGGAUAGGCCAAAAUGUACGUUUUGGAAAAAACUUGGACAUACUUUCAAAAACUGUCAUGCUAAGAAGAAAGCUGACAACAUAAAGAAAGUAAGUUCAUUUUGUGGUAAACACGAGCACCAUGAUCCUGUUUGUUAUCACAAAAGGAAAAUCCUCACAAGAGGAAAAACUAAUCAACAGGGACCCAAUGUUAUAUGGGUACCCAAGUUACUUUUAACCUCUAACACAGGUUCAUCCUCUGAUCAACAAAAGAAAGCCUUGGUACUUGGACAGUGGCAGCUCAAGGCAUAUGACAUGGAAUCUGAUUACAAACCUUUAUUAACUCCUAAUAACUAUUCCCUCUAUUUUUCAAUGGCUACAAAAUUCCUUCAAAUUCUUUGAUCAAAUCACUCAAAAACUCUGAUUAUUUAUCCUCUUCUUGGAGUGGAUAACCAACCAUCUUAUAAACCCCAGGAAGUCAUCCUCAUGUCUUGCCACAUCAACCUCUUCAACCAAUCCUCACUGUCCUUCAACCUCGUCCUCCUCUGAUGACUUUUUCUCCGUCCACAUCGACCAUUUUGAAAUAUCAGCCUCAUUAAUAUGAAGUCUCUUUAUGGUUCAAAUUCAUGUUUCAAAACUUUGGCAUAUGUUCAAGGGGAGUAAUUUUUUUGAAAAAUUUAAAAAAGUUACUCUUAUGAUUUAGGGGGAGCAUAAACAUUUUAUCUCAUAAUUUUUUUAUAUUUAAAAUCAUAAUCUAAAUAAUUGUGUCAUCAUAAAAAAGAGGGAGAUUGUUGAGACAAAAUCUCUCUCAAAUGGUUUUAAUGAUAACAAAAUUAUUUAAAAGAUUAUGAUUGUGGUUAAUGACUAAUCUGUGCUUUUGAGUGAAUUCAUAUCAUUAAGACAAAAAAGAGAAAAAUCUGAUUCAAAUCUGGAGAAUUGGAAUUCGAGAGGAUGACCUCGUAAGAGGAUAAAGCUUCAAAUCUGCAAAAUACUGAUCCUCACCAAAACAAAUUCUUUUAUUCAUUAAAGUAAAGGCAAAAUAAAGCUUUUGAAGUAAAGAAGUCAGAUGGCAAAAGAAUAGGUACGAGGAGGGAUUAUACUAGGAUGGGUUUAUGGUCAAUAUCUUGGAAAGCAACCCAACACUGUUGAAAGCAACCCAUCAUAUCAUAUGCAAAGGCUAAAAGUAGACCUAUAUAUCAUUCUUGUAUGAUUGAAAACAAUAUAGAGUCAAUCUUCAGAAAUGCAACAACAAACAAGCCAAAAAUAGAAGCCUUCACAUGUCUUGAAGAAAGGAAAUCUGACCCACGUGCUUAAGGAUGGUUCUCUAUUGUCAACAUCGCUCUCAAAAGUUGAAAAUGACCUAGCACUUCAAAGUUCAUAAUGAUUGUAGCCGACAGUCAAAGCUAUAGCCUUACAUGUCUUGAAGAAUGAGAAAAGAAAAGGACAGCUCAAGGCCAAGUUCCAAGGAGGGUGAUCCUCCUGCUCGGGGAUGGACUAAGUCUGUCCAAGGACAGUUGGAUGGCAGUUCUCUAAAUAUGAUGAAAGACUUUGGAGUUUUUGAAUUAUUUUCCCAACGGUCAUAAAGAGCUUGGCACAUGGAAGGAUCAUCACAAGACUUAUGUAUAAGGCAACAAGCCCUUCAUCAUUAAUGAUACAACAACAUUGCAUAAAAAUAUCAGGUAUCUUAAAGCUAUUAAGAGAAAUAUCCAUCAUCUCUUCAUACUUUCUAUAAUCCUACACUAGAUCUUUGAAAUAUCUUUUUAGAAAGUAUUUAAGAAAAGAGAAACAAUCAUAUUCAUAUCUCUUUGUAAUUUCCACGUGAGUUACACUUGGAAAUAGUUUGGAACUUGUAAGAAACAAGAUUGUAAGCUUAGUGAGGCUAUAGAAUACACAAAGUGUAAGUAACAUCUGUUAGAGGUUGAUCAAUUUGAUCAUUAGUGAAAUAUCACAAGUGUGUGACGACUGGACGUAGCCUUCAUUGGGUGAACUAGUAUAAAAGUUGUGUGUGUCAUUCUUUACAUUUUCUCUUUCUUUUACUCUACACAAAUUUAAAAGGCUUAAAUAACCAUCAUCGAGUUCGCAUCCUCUCAGAGAUGAUAGCUUUUAAAAAACACGUGAAAAAUAUUUUAACUAAAAUAAUAUUGGUAGUAUGAUGCAUAAUGAGAAAAUAAUGAUAGUAUACAUAAUUAGAAAAUGAUAUUUAAUUUUAUUUUAGUGGUAGAAUAGAAAAAAAACCAAAAAAAGAGACGAUUGGAAUACGCUUUAACUAGAAAAAAAAAGAGACGAUUGUAAUACCACCGCCUUAAUCCGCGAAUAACUAUCUAUAUUUAUAUUGAUCAGUUCUGUUCUCAAUCAACACAAGAACAACGUUGUUGUUUACGCACUAACGAUCGGAACGAAAGCUCUCUCUCUCUCCCUCGAUCUCGCUCUCUUCUUCUUUGUCAAGCUCUACUUUACAAUCUCUCGUUCUCCCUCUCCCUCUCACUUUUCUCAUUGUUACUUUUUUUAGUUUUACUCUUUGGUUUGUCUAUGUGGCUAUUUUGUGGUUCUUUGAUUCUUUUUUUAGGUUUUUCUGUCCGUGAUGGAUUCCCCGCCAGGUACUCCGAUUUCAUCACUCUCUCAUACGGUGGCCACUCCGUCACUUCCGUCGGCACCGAAAGAGAAACCCCAACAGUCUAUGGCAAGGUUUAUUCAGCACUCUUUAGAUGAUAUUACCGAAAUGGUUCAGGAAAUUAUUCUAAGGCCUGAGUACAGCCAAGAAGCAUUGAAUUCUGAGAGAGAAAGAAAAAUGCGCAUUUUGAUGUCACUGCGAUAGUCAUUCAUUGCUUGCGUGAGUAUGAUUCUUGUGUUGGUUGGUAACUUGGUAUGAUUCUCUGUUCCUUUAUUCCUUUCAAUUUAUAUUUGGUAAGAAUCUAAGUGUAUAGAUUUAUAUACGUUUUUAUGCCAAAAUAUAAAAUAUGCCUUCGAUCUUGAUUUUUAUGCUAAAGAAAGUACCUAUUUUAUAUUAUGAAUCUAUGAUGAAUGAUGAUACUUCUAUAGACGGAUAUGUGUUAGGUAACAAUUUAUCUGUUUCAAUUGUUUAUGAUUCUUAUUCUAAAAUCUAUAAUAAGUCUCCUAAAGUUAGUCCUCUUUAUCUUUUUAUCUUAAUAUUGUUUAUGUUAUGUCAAUGCCACUCUUGUAACUAUUCGAAUAUUUGAGUACUCACUACCAACAUGUUCUAAUACCCUCUCAUUCACUAUCUAAGGUAUGUUCUUUUCUUUGCCAAAACUAUUUUGAAUCUAUUACUAACUUGAUCGUUGGAGUCUUUGCAGGUACCACACCCAUUGCUCAUGAGCAGGAACAACUUUGGCAACAACAAUUGGUCAAUCUAAUCUACUUCAUAUUUGGACAAUCAUUCUAGAAAUGAACAUGUAAGUAGUAUCUUAAUUACUGCAUCUCUUCUAUGUGGAAAAAGGUGAGAAAUUUAUGUGAUUCAAUUGUUU
Molecule: long non-coding RNA, 24404 nt
Filed under: Cicer arietinum (chickpea)
Lineage: Eukaryota; Viridiplantae; Streptophyta; Magnoliopsida; Fabales; Fabaceae
Description: long non-coding RNA (CARI_LNC003102)
Source: RNAcentral